RNAcentral lists this ribosomal RNA (251 nucleotides) under uncultured bacterium. RNAcentral's name for it is "partial 16S ribosomal RNA". It matches the Rfam family "Bacterial small subunit ribosomal RNA", at positions 57 to 305 of the family's 1533-position model. The record is from RNAcentral.
GCAAGUCGAGGGGUAACAGGGGAGCUUGCUUCCGCUGACGACCGGCGCACGGGUGCGUAACGCGUAUGCAACCUACCUUACACUGGGGGAUAGCCCGAAGAAAUUCGGAUUAAUACCCCAUAACAUUGCGACUUCUCAUGGAGAUGCAAUUAAAACUCCGGUGGUGUAAGAUGGGCAUGCGUGACAUUAGAUUGUUGGUGAGGUAACGGCUCACCAAGUCUACGAUGUCUAGGGGUUCUGAGAGGAAGGUC